GAUGAACGCUGGCGGCGUGCCUAAUACAUGCAGGUCGAGCGAACAGAUGAGGAGCUUGCUCCUCUGACGUUAGCGGCGGACGGGUGAGUAACACGUGGAUAACCUACCUAUAAGACUGGGAUAACUUCGGGAAACCGGAGCUAAUACCGGAUAAUAUAUUGAACCGCAUGGUUCAAUAGUGAAUGACGGUUUUGCUGUCACUUAUAGAUGGAUCCGCGCCGCCUUAGCUAGUUGGUAAGGUAACGGCUUACCAAGGCAACGAUGCGUAGCCGACCUGAGAGGGUGAUCGGCCACAGUGGAACUGAGACACGGUCCAGACUCCUACGGGAGGGAGCAGUAGGGAAUCUUCCGCAAUGGGCGAAAGCCUGACGGAGCAACGCCGCGUGAGUGAUGAAGGUCUUCGGAUCGUAAAACUCUGUUAUUAGGGAAGAACAAAUGUGUAAGUAACUAUGCACGUCUUGACGGUACCUAAACAGAAAGCCACGGCUAACUACGUG
RNAcentral lists this ribosomal RNA (497 nucleotides) under uncultured bacterium. RNAcentral's name for it is "partial 16S ribosomal RNA". It matches the Rfam family "Bacterial small subunit ribosomal RNA", at positions 28 to 507 of the family's 1533-position model. The record is from RNAcentral.